AGCGGGGCCCAUCCCGUAAGGCUAAAUACUCCCGAGAGACCGAUAGCGAACCAGUACUGUGAAGGAAAGGUGAAAAGCACCUCGAACAGAGGAGUGAAAUAGUCCCUGAAACCGUCUGCCUACAAGCGGUCGGAGCAACGUAAGUUGUGACGGCGUGCCUUUUGCAUAAUGAACCUACGAGUUACUUUCUCCGGCAAGGUUAAGGGCUUCAGGCCCGGAGCCGAAGCGAAAGCGAGUCUUAAUAGGGCGUGAUAGUCGGAGUGAGUAGACGCGAAACCAAGUGAUCUACCCUUGGUCAGGAUGAAGGUUGGGUAACACCAACUGGAGGUCCGAAUGGGUAUACGUUGAAAAGUGUUCCAAUGAACUGAGGGUAGGGGUGAAAGGCUAAUCAAACUUGGAGAUAGCUCGUACUCCCCGAAAUGCAUUUAGGUGCAGCCUUUAUUUAGUAUAGCAUGAGGUAGAGCGACUGAUUGGAUGCGAGGGCUUCACCGCCUAUCAAGUCCAGAUAAACUCCGAAUGCGUGCUAUAUAUUGAUAAGGAGUGAGGGCGCGGGUGCUAAGGUCCGCGUCCGAGAGGAGAAGAAUCCAGACCAUCAGCUAAGGUCCCCAAAUAACAGUUAAGUUGAACUAACGAAGUCGGACUGCAGAGACAGCUAGGAUGUUGGCUUGGAAGCAGCCAUUCAUUUAAAGAGUGCGUAACAGCUCACUAGUCGAGGAGUCCGGCGUGGAUAAUACUCGGGCAUAAACUGUUUACCGAAGCUAUGGAUGUGUAAACACAUGGUAGGGGAGCAUUCCAACGGCGUCGAAGGUGAAGGAUGACCUUUGCUGGAGCUUUUGGAAACGCAAAUGUAGGUAUAAGUAACGAUAAAGGAGGUGAGAAACCUCCUCGCCGAAAGACUAAGGUUUCCUGAUCAACGUUAAUCGGAUCAGGGUAAGUCGGGACCUAAGGUUAAGCCGAACGGCGAUACCGAUGGAAGAAUGGUUUAAUAUUCCCAUACUACUUUAUGGAGCGAUGUGGAGACGGAGAAGUGACAGUCCUGCCAUCUGACGGAAUAGGUGGUUGAAGAGUGUAGAUGUAGAUUCCUGUAGGCAAAUCCGCAGGGAGAGUCGACCUUGACAGUAUGCCGCGUGCUUGCACAAGGCAAAAUGGACGUAAUCAGGCUCCCAAGAAAAUCCGCUAAGCAUAUUCAUAAAGUACCCGUACCGUAAACGGACACACGUAGUUGGGUUGAAAAUACUGAGGCGCUCGAGUGAUUCACGGUUAAGGAACUAGGCAAAUUGACCCUGUAACUUCGGGAUAAAGGGUCCCUACUGAGAGGUAGGGCGCAGAGAAUAGGUCCAGGCAACUGUUUAACAAAAACACAUGGCUGUGCGAAAUAGAAAUAUGAAGUAUACAGCCUGACACCUGCCCGGUGCUGGAAGGUUAAGAGGAGAGCUCAUCGCAAGAGAAGGCUUGAAUUGAAGCCCCAGUAAACGGCGGCCGUAACUAUAACGGUCCUAAGGUAGCGAAAUUCCUUGUCGGGUAAGUUC
This 1529-nucleotide ribosomal RNA is filed under the name human gut metagenome. RNAcentral's name for it is "bacterial LSU rRNA". It matches the Rfam family "Bacterial large subunit ribosomal RNA", at positions 445 to 1983 of the family's 2925-position model. The record is from RNAcentral.